RNAcentral lists this small RNA (29 nucleotides) under Bombyx mori (domestic silkworm). RNAcentral's name for it is "ovarian small RNA-31309". Lineage: Eukaryota; Metazoa; Arthropoda; Insecta; Lepidoptera; Bombycidae. The record is from RNAcentral.
UGACAAGAAAUAUACAGACCAUCAGAAAA